RNAcentral lists this ribosomal RNA (198 nucleotides) under uncultured bacterium. Its description in RNAcentral is "partial 16S ribosomal RNA". It matches the Rfam family "Bacterial small subunit ribosomal RNA", at positions 328 to 539 of the family's 1533-position model. The record is from RNAcentral.
ACGCUCGACACCUACGGGAGUCAGCAGUGGGGAAUAUUGCACAAUGGGGGAAACCCUGAUGCAGCGACGCCGCGUGGAGGAAGAAGGUCUUCGGAUUGUAAACUCCUGUUGUUGGGGAAAAAGAGGAUGGUACCCAACAAGGAAGUGACGGCUAACUACGUGCCAACAGCCGCGGUAAUCUGAGCGGGCUGGCAAGGC